GUCUACAGCCAUGCUAUCCUAAACAAGCCCUAUCCUGUCUGAUCUCAGGAGCUAAGCAGGGUUGAGCCUGGUUAGUACUUGGAUGGGAAACCACCUAAGAAGACCAAGUGCUGUAGGCA
This 119-nucleotide ribosomal RNA is filed under the name Pteropus alecto (black flying fox). Lineage: Eukaryota; Metazoa; Chordata; Mammalia; Chiroptera; Pteropodidae. The record is from RNAcentral.